Molecule: long non-coding RNA, 1934 nt
Organism: Asparagus officinalis (garden asparagus)
Lineage: Eukaryota; Viridiplantae; Streptophyta; Magnoliopsida; Asparagales; Asparagaceae
Exons: 2
Source: RefSeq, a predicted model, not a curated record
CCUAGCGCCUUCUCUAGGGGCUUUGGAGGCUACCCCUGCUCAGUUUCUUCGAAAGGCAACGGUGAUGAUCCUACUACAGACCUGUAAUGAUUUAUGCGGAAAUGAUCGCAGAAUCAAAGAACAUCUAAGGGGCUGAGUUGUCUUAUUAUUACCACUACAAGUAGAAAAUAUUUAAAAAAAAUGUAAAUGAUUAGUGUAGCGAUGAUGAUCCUACUACAGACCUGUAAUGAUUCUGCGGAAAUGAUCGCAAAAUCAAGAACAUCUAAGGGACUGAGUUUUACCUUAAACUUUGUACUCUAGAUUUUUUUAAAUUUUUUUAAUCGUUGUUUAUGUUAGAGAUUUGGAAAUGUAUAUGCUUCAUAAAAAAGGAAAUCAAAGGCCUGUGAAUCUGGAAAUGAAUUGGUCUAAGAAUGAAGUGAAGCAAAAAAAAAAACGCUUCCCUCGCUAUCCAGUGCAGUCGUUAUUGCAUUUGGACGUUGGGAAGCUACAAAGUUUAACCACGUCGCCAUUCUCUGAAGUUGUAGUAUUUAUGCAGGAAAUAUAAUGGCUUGUGAAUUUAUUUUUGGUGGGUAUUUCUGUUUGAAUAUUAAAUAUGGAUUUGGAGUGUUUAGGUGGAAAUGAUGCUUGAAAACAAUUGAUGAGUGAAAAAUAUUGUAGAGGCUUGUAUAGAAAAUCAUAACAUAAGGGAAGGGGGAGGAAGACGGUUGAUUAGCAAGUCUUUUGAUACAAAAAUUUCAAAACCACCCUAUUUGAACAUUUAAUUUAAGAAAAACGAUUUGUUUUAGACCUUAAUUUAAAAAACCGACUUGGUUUCUAAAAAUUCAAAAAUUCACGGGAGUUGGAACUCUCGUAAAGUUGUAUUUGUUGAACAGACAUCACGGCAGUUAAGUUGAACUUGUGUGGGGUUUCAGUCUAAUUUUUAGAGAAACUCUCAAAAAAGUUGACUUCAACUCCACGGGAGUUCAACUCCCAUGGAGUUAGACCAUGUGUAGCAGGGGUUAUUUGAAGAGUUAUUUGGUUGCAGUAUGGGUUUUUUGAAAAGGUGAAUCAAAAAGACAAGGCCAAGGGGUGAAAAAUUCACCUCGGGUAUUUCUGACAAGGCCACGCGCGUGACAGGUCUCGCAGCUUGCCAGCUGUCGUGUGGCAAAUUUUGAUUGGGCGGGAUUUUUUUUAUACAAUGGGCGGGAUUUUUUUUUAUACAAUUAAUUUUUAUUUUUCAAUCUCUAUAAAUAGAGACUAACUUUGUGUCAUUUGGACACCAACCUUGCGUAGCGGUUGGUCCGAUGAAAACUACAUAUCCAAGGCAAGAGAGUUGUACUUUGAGAAAAUGGGUACGACGUUUAAUUUGGUGGAUGAGUGGAAGAUGGUUCGUAAUCAGCCUAAAUAUAUGACAGGAGAAAAUGCAUCUGGUAGUAGUGGCUUUAAAAGAAAGAUUAGUGGUGAGGAUGUUGAAUCAUCAACUCCUACCCUUGUACGUCCAGAGGGUAGGGAAGGACGUGGCAAAGAAGAAAGCUAGAGCUUCCUCUAGUAAAACAUCUAUGUCAAGGAAAUCAAAGGGGGCAAUUGAGGAGUUAUCUAAGCUAGUCAGUGCUCAUGAAAAAUUUAAAGAGAAAAGAUCAAGUACUGCUUCAGCUAUGAAUAACCUGGCUCAUUCCAAGAAUAUGGAGAUGUGGUUAUUCUUGAAAAACAAACCAGAUCGUGACGAUGAAGAUGAAGAAGCUUAUAAUAUGUUGAGGAAGAACCUGUUUGGAAAAUAAGACCUUCUCAAAAAGUUAUGAUUGUGUGCUUUUUUCUGAUGUUUUUGUGUGCCGUUUGUUUAAUUUUGGAGUUGUGUGGGUGUCUAUGUUUGUUGAAUGUAUUAGUAAAAGUGUUGUUUAUGUUUGAAUAAAAUUGUUGUUUAUGUUUCAAUAAAGCCGAUUGAUAUUGACUUCUCA